Molecule: ribosomal RNA, 253 nt
Filed under: uncultured bacterium
Lineage: Bacteria
Description: partial 16S ribosomal RNA
Rfam family: Bacterial small subunit ribosomal RNA
Source: RNAcentral
UACGGAGGGGGCAAGCGUUAUCCGGAUUCACUGGGCUUAAAGGGUGCGUAGGCGGGUAUAUAAGUCAGUGGUGAAAGCUCCGAGCUUAACUUGGAAACUGCCAUUGAUACUGUAUAUCUUGAAUGUCGUAGAGGUUAGCGGAAUGUUGCAUGUAGCGGUGAAAUGCUUAGAUAUGUGACAGAACACCAAUUGCGAAGGCAGCUAACUAUGCGAUAAUUGACGCUGAGGCACGAAAGCGUGGGGAGCAAACAGG